GAGAGCCGUGUGCGGGAAAACCGCACGCACGGUUCGGAGGGAGGGGCGGGGAAACUUGUCCCUACCCCUAU
This 71-nucleotide non-coding RNA is filed under the name Candidatus Kentrum sp. LPFa. Lineage: Bacteria; Pseudomonadati; Pseudomonadota; Gammaproteobacteria. The record is from RNAcentral.